This 219-nucleotide long non-coding RNA is filed under the name Paramuricea clavata. The record is from RNAcentral. Lineage: Eukaryota; Metazoa; Cnidaria; Anthozoa; Malacalcyonacea; Plexauridae.
CAGUUGUAUUUAACUUAAAAAUUCACGGAUAUAUUAAUGUUAAAAAUGGGGAGCAUAUUUUGGAAUGCGUCUAAAAUUAGCGAAAAUCGGCAUAUCAAAUAUUAACUCCAGCGUUUGUUUGCUUAAUGACAUAUUAGGCUAACUUGUAUUUCAGCGAAUUAUCGUUAAGGUUUGUAAGGGAUAUGGCGUAGAUUUGGACAUCUUACAUGUAAGUCUUAG